Molecule: ribosomal RNA, 509 nt
Filed under: uncultured bacterium
Lineage: Bacteria
Description: bacterial SSU rRNA
Rfam family: Bacterial small subunit ribosomal RNA
Source: RNAcentral
CUGGCGGCGUGCCUAAUACAUGCAAGUCGAACGGUCUUUCUAUGGAGGCUUGCUUCCACUGAGAAGAUAGUGGCGAACGGGUGAGUAACACGUGGGUAACCUGCCCAUAAGAGGGGGAUAACAUCCGGAAACGGGUGCUAAUACCGCAUAGUUUUCUUGAUUGCAUGAUUGAGAAAGGAAAGACGGCCUUUGUGCUGUCGCUUAUGGAUGGACCCGCGGCGUAUUAGUUAGUUGGUGAGGUAACGGCUCACCAAGACGAUGAUACGUAGCCGACCUGAGAGGGUGAUCGGCCACAUUGGGACUGAGACACGGCCCAAACUCCUACGGGAGGCAGCAGUAGGGAAUCUUCCGCAAUGGACGAAAGUCUGACGGAGCAACGCCGCGUGAGUGAAAGAAGGUUUUCGGAUCGUAAAACUCUGUUGUCAGAGAAGAACAAGUUGGAGAGUAACUGCUCCAGCCUUGACGGUAUCUGACCAGAAAGCCACGGCUAACUACGUGCCAGCCGCCGC